UACGGAGGGUGCGAGCGUUGUCCGGAAUCAUUGGGCGUAAAGGGCGCGUAGGUGGCCUGCUAAGCGUGCGGUGAAAGUCGGGGGGCUCAACCCCCGAUCGGCCGUGCGAACUGGGAGGCUUGAGCACUGUAGAGGCAGGCGGAAUUCCGGGUGUAGCGGUGGAAUGCGUAGAGAUCCGGAAGAACACCGGUGGCGAAGGCGGCCUGCUGGGCAGUUUUGCUGACACUGAGGCGCGACAGCGUGGGGGAGCAAACAGGG
RNAcentral lists this ribosomal RNA (258 nucleotides) under uncultured bacterium. Its description in RNAcentral is "partial 16S ribosomal RNA". It matches the Rfam family "Bacterial small subunit ribosomal RNA", at positions 524 to 777 of the family's 1533-position model. The record is from RNAcentral.